AGAGUUUGAUCCUGGCUCAGAAUGAACGCUGGCGGCGUGCCUAACACAUGCAAGUCGAACGAGGUCUAGGUGCUUGCACCUGGAACCGAGUGGCGGACGGGUGAGUAACACGUGGGUAAUCUGCCCUGAGGACGGGGACAACAGCUUGAAAAGGCUGCUAAUACCCGAUGACCUCCUUUGUCUUAGUUGACUUUGGAGCAAAUGAAUUUCGCCUCAGGAUGAGCCCGCGCCCCAUUAGCUAGUUGGUAGGGUAAUGGCCUACCAAGGCUACGAUGGGUAGCCGGCCUGAGAGGGUGAUCGGCCACACUGGAACUGAGACACGGUCCAGACUCCUACGGGAGGCAGCAGUGGGGAAUAUUGGGCAAUGGGCGCAAGCCUGACCCAGCAACGCCGCGUGGGGGAUGAAGCAUCUCGGUGUGUAAACCCCUGUAAGAAGGGAAGAAGGCUUCGGCCUGACGGUACCUUCAGAGUAAGCCCCGGCUAACUCCGUGCCAGCAGCCGCGGUAAUACGGAGGGGGCAAGCGUUAUUCGGAAUUACUGGGCGUAAAGAGCGCGUAGGCGGUCUUGUAAGUCUCUCGUCCAAUCCAUCGGCUCAACCGGUGAUUUGCGGGAGAUACUACAUAACUAGAGUUCGGGAGAGGGGAGUGGAAUUCCUAGUGUAGCGGUGAAAUGCGUAGAUAUUAGGAGGAACACCCGUGGCGAAGGCGACUCCCUGGACCGAUACUGACGCUGAGGCGCGAAAGCUAGGGGAGCGAACGGGAUUAGAUACCCCGGUAGUCCUAGCUGUAAACGAUGGGUACUAGGUGUGGUGGGUAUCGACCCCUACCGUGCCGCAGUUAACGCAAUAAGUACCCCGCCUGGGGAGUACGUUCGCAAGAAUAAAACUCAAAGGAAUUGACGG
Molecule: ribosomal RNA, 901 nt
Filed under: uncultured bacterium
Lineage: Bacteria
Description: bacterial SSU rRNA
Rfam family: Bacterial small subunit ribosomal RNA
Source: RNAcentral